GCGGCAUGCUUUACACAUGCAAGUCGAACGGUAACAGGCCUUCGGGCGCUGACGAGUGGCGAACGGGUGAGUAAUGCAUCGGAACGUGCCCAGUCGUGGGGGAUAACUGCUCGAAAGAGCAGCUAAUACCGCAUACGAUCUGCGGAUGAAAGCGGGGGACCUUCGGGCCUCGCGCGAUUGGAGCGGCCGAUGUCAGAUUAGGUAGUUGGUGGGGUAAAGGCUCACCAAGCCAACGAUCUGUAGCUGGUCUGAGAGGACGACCAGCCACACUGGGACUGAGACACGGCCCAGACUCCUACGGGAGGCAGCAGUGGGGAAUUUUGGACAAUGGGCGCAAGCCUGAUCCAGCAAUGCCGCGUGCAGGAAGAAGGCCUUCGGGUUGUAAACUGCUUUUGUACGGAACGAAACGGUCUGGGUUAAUACCCUGGGCUAAUGACGGUACCGUAAGAAUAAGCACCGGCUAACUACGUGCCAGCAGCCGCGGUAAUACGUAGGGUGCAAGC
Molecule: ribosomal RNA, 503 nt
Filed under: uncultured Hydrogenophaga sp.
Lineage: Bacteria; Pseudomonadati; Pseudomonadota; Betaproteobacteria; Burkholderiales; Comamonadaceae
Description: bacterial SSU rRNA
Rfam family: Bacterial small subunit ribosomal RNA
Source: RNAcentral